GCCUCGGUAGCGCGGUGGUUAGUGCGACGAGCCAGCAACUCGAGGCUCGCGGGUUCGAAUCUCCGUCCAGGAAG
This is a non-coding RNA of Acanthoscelides obtectus, 74 nucleotides long. The record is from the annotation of a GenBank genome assembly. NCBI's taxonomy places the organism in Eukaryota, Metazoa, Arthropoda, Insecta, Coleoptera, Chrysomelidae.